Molecule: ribosomal RNA, 405 nt
Filed under: uncultured bacterium
Lineage: Bacteria
Description: partial 16S ribosomal RNA
Rfam family: Bacterial small subunit ribosomal RNA
Source: RNAcentral
AUUGAACGCUGGCGGCAGGCUUAACACAUGCAAGUCGAACGAGUGGCGGACGGGUGAGUAAUGCUUGGGAAUCUCGCUUAUGGAGGGGGAUAACUACGGGAAACUGUAGCUAAUACCGCGUACCAUAGGAUGAGCCCAAGUGGGAUUAGGUAGUUGGUGAGGUAAAGGCUCACCAAGCCGACGAUCUCUCGCUGGUCUGAGAGGAUGACCAGCAACAGUGGGACUGAGACACGGCGCAGACACCUAAGGGAGGGAGCAGUAGGAAAUAUUGCGAAAUGGGGGAAACCUGACGCAGCAAUACCGCGAGAAUGAGGAAGGCCUUCGGGUUGUAAAGUUCUUUAGGUAGCGAGGCGUUAACUACAGGAGAAGCAGCGGCUAACUCCGUGCCAGCAGCCGCGGUAAUUC